AUGCCCACCUCCUCCUCCAACCCCAGCACCGAGUUCCUCUACCUCGGCACGCUCGCCACCCCGCCGCCGGGGACUGCUCCGCCCCCCUCGCGCCCCCGCCCCGGCUCGCCCGAGCUCCGCCCGCUCCCGCCGCUGCCCCGCGUCGGCCCGCCCUCCGGCGAGUUCGGCUCCCGCAGCUCCGCGUCCGACCCCAGCACCGUGCCCCGCGCGGCCGCACUCGCCGCCGGCGACGCAUCGUCCUCGUCCCUCUCGCCUUCCUCCCCCUCGGCGUCCUCACCCACGCUCGCCUCCAGCCCCGUCCACAUCCGCCCGCCGUCCAUCCCGCAGCCCCGCGGCCGUGCCCCCAACCCGUCUCCCCCCAAACGCAGGCCGCCACCGCCACCCACACCACCAACCCAAUCGUGGAACCCCUUCGUGCCCGUCCCGCCGGCACAAGCCGCUCUCCCCUCCGACGACGACGGCGACUCCUCCUCCACCAUUGCGGCGGCGAUGCACAAGUCCCGGCCCCUGCACUCCGACAAGCUCAAGCCCGGAUCUCUGCACAUGAAGGACGAGAUGAUCCAGCUCUACCUGAACAACUCGGCGGCGGCAUCGGCGAGGGAGGUGUGCCUGCUCGGCGCGGCGCGGUGCCACGGCAUUGGGACGGUGCUGGGUGCACUGGGUUUCUCCGAGGAGCAAGUGCGUGAUGCGCUCUUGGAAGGCAAUGCACAUGGUUUGGGGGUAGAGGCCCUGCGGAUGCUCGCUCAGUUGGUUCUCACCAAUGAGGAAGAGCUUAAGCUCAGAUAUUUGAAGGAUGACCCACCUGCCAAGCUUUGCGCGGUCGAUGCUUUUCUGAAGACGAUACUGGAUGUGCCAUUUGCAUUCAAGAGAGUGGAUGCUAUGCUCUAUGUUUCUAGCUUUUAUCUGGAGGUCAAUCAGCUGAGGAUGUCCUACGCUACUCUCGAGGCAGCCUGCCAGGAGCUGAGGAGCAGCAGGCUAUGCCACAAGGUUCUUGGGGCAGUCCUCAACUUCGGCAACAUGAUGAGCAUCAACACAGGCUCUCCAAACUCACAUGCCCUGGAGCCCAACACGCUCCUGAAGAUAGUCGACGUCAAAGGGGCCGACGGCAAGGCGGCGCUCCUGCAGUUCGUCGUCCAGGAAAUCAUGAAACCCGAAGGACACAGCAAUCUGAACCCGGCAUGCAAGACGGACGCGAGCAUGAGCCCGCCGUACGACGUCGACUGCAGGAAGCACGGCCUCCAGGUGGUCUCGAAGCUCACCGCCGAGCUGACCAGCACCAAGAAGGCCGCGUGCGUCGACAUGACGGGCCUCAGCCGGAGCGUGUCGGAGCUCGGGGUCGGCCUCGGGAAGGUCCACGACGUGCUGCGGCUGAACGGCAUGGCGGCGUCGGCGGAGAGCGCCCGGCGGUUCCACAACGCGAUGAGCGCGUUCCUGCGGCAGGCCGAGGAGGAGAUCGUCAGGCUCCAGGGCCAGGAGAGCGUGUGCCUGUCGUCGGUGCGGGAGAUGGCGGAGUACUUCCACGGCGGCGAUGAGGCGGGCGACGGCGAGGCUCGCUUGAUCAGGGUCUUUGCUGGUGUCCGGGAGUUCGUGGCCAUGCUCGACCGGAUCUGUAGGGAGGCCGGGGAGGUCCAGGGCUCGACGCCGGUGAGCUGGGUGGCUGCUGGUGCGCCGCCCGUUGGGACGACGCCCUGA
RNAcentral lists this ribosomal RNA (1692 nucleotides) under Triticum aestivum (bread wheat). RNAcentral describes it as "partial small subunit ribosomal RNA". The record is from RNAcentral. Lineage: Eukaryota; Viridiplantae; Streptophyta; Magnoliopsida; Poales; Poaceae.